UACGUAGGGAGCGAGCGUUGUCCGGAUUCAUUGGGCGUAAAGAGCUCGUAGGCGGCUUGGCAAGUCGGGUGUGAAAACUCCAGGCUCAACCUGGAGACGCCACCCGAUACUGCCAUGGCUAGAGUCCGGUAGGGGACCACGGAAUUCCUGGUGUAGCGGUGAAAUGCGCAGAUAUCAGGAGGAACACCAAUGGCGAAGGCAGCUCGCUGGGACGUGACUGACGCUGAGACGCGAAAGCGUGGGGAGCAAACAGG
RNAcentral lists this ribosomal RNA (254 nucleotides) under uncultured bacterium. RNAcentral's name for it is "partial 16S ribosomal RNA". It matches the Rfam family "Bacterial small subunit ribosomal RNA", at positions 524 to 776 of the family's 1533-position model. The record is from RNAcentral.